This 83-nucleotide transfer RNA is filed under the name Candidatus Omnitrophota bacterium. RNAcentral describes it as "tRNA-Tyr". It matches the Rfam family "tRNA". Rfam says of the family: Transfer RNA (tRNA) molecules are approximately 80 nucleotides in length. Lineage: Bacteria; Pseudomonadati; Candidatus Omnitrophota. RNAcentral also lists the same sequence under 2 other names. The record is from RNAcentral.
GGAGAGGUAGCGAAGUGGUCAAACGCAUCUGACUGUAAAUCAGACGGCUUACGCCUUCGAAGGUUCAAAUCCUUCCCUCUCCA